Mustela lutreola (European mink) is the source of this 752-nucleotide long non-coding RNA. RefSeq lists it as uncharacterized. The record is from RefSeq and is a predicted model, not a curated record. The transcript is spliced from 3 exons. Lineage: Eukaryota; Metazoa; Chordata; Mammalia; Carnivora; Mustelidae.
AAACAGGUGACUAUGCCCCUACUUCUCCAACAUAACUGUGUCUCACAUGUCAUCCUCUUAGAAGGGAUGAAGUUUUGCUGCUGUCACUGGUCUCUUGUCUACUAAGAUGAUCUGAGACUGACUUCCAACAGUGAGAAUAUUGCUAAUGAAAAGAGGAUGCUGUAGUCAGUCAGCAGUACAGGUUUCUUAUUUAUGGGUGAAUGCAACCCUCAACUGAUUUCAUCUGCAAAGAAAAUGCUGACCUUCCAGUGUCUGAGAGGAGGUAACCCAGUUGGUGGAAAAUAGGAUAAUAAUUGGAUGCAUAGGUAUCAGAAUCAUUAAUGAUCUCUUCUGAAGGUGCUUUUAGAGCUUCAGAUUAAAAGUGCUGUAUAUCAUGGGGAAGAUACAAAGUAAGGGGCUAUUUAAACAUGUCCUGUAAUUUUAUUUUAAUAAUUGUUUUACCCUGGGCAAGUGUCUUUAACCCUAGUCCUUGGUUUACUUGUCUUUAGUACAACAGAAUUGUGCUAGAUUAUUUCUAAGAUUCUUUAUGGGCAGAACUAUUAAGAUGCUGUACAUGUUGGCCUAUAGUAAAGCAACAAAAACGAUCUGGCCCCCAAAUGCAUAAUUCCCAGUAAUCUUCUGAAUAGUAGCGAGGCAUAAGGGUUCACAGUGCAAAAUAGAACAUGUAGGAGUCAUAUAAUCACCAAGACUUAGAGGACUACCCGCAUGAUAGGUAGUAUUAUACUUUGUACUGAGGUUUCACGUCAAAGUGC